RNAcentral lists this ribosomal RNA (303 nucleotides) under uncultured bacterium. RNAcentral describes it as "partial 16S ribosomal RNA". It matches the Rfam family "Bacterial small subunit ribosomal RNA", at positions 507 to 808 of the family's 1533-position model. The record is from RNAcentral.
AGCAGUCGCCGCGGUAAUACGAAGGGUGCAAGCGUUAAUCGGAAUUACUGGGCGUAAAGCGCGCGUAGGUGGUUUGGUAAGAUGGAUGUGAAAUCCCCGGGCUCAACCUGGGAACUGCAUCCAUAACUGCCUGACUAGAGUACGGUAGAGGGUGGUGGAAUUUCCUGUGUAGCGGUGAAAUGCGUAGAUAUAGGAAGGAACACCAGUGGCGAAGGCGACCACCUGGACUGAUACUGACACUGAGGUGCGAAAGCGUGGGGAGCAAACAGGAUUAGAUACCCCCGGUAGUCCCUGUCUCUUAUA